CUUCUCCAACCAUUGGUACGCGACGGUGGUUCGGUCCGGGAGGUGGCUCCUGCAAUCCUGGCGUCGCCGCAGCAGUGGUUCCAUUCCGGCGGCAUCAGGGGAGCACACAACGUCCACGAGCAGCAAGCAGAGCCGGCCAAUCGGCCAAUGAUGCAGCAGCGCUGGCCAUGAGGAGACGCCUGCCGUGGCGGACGCGGAGACAACAACCAUGGGCGUGGAAGACGGUUUUGGAUCCUGUGAGCCGCCGCCGCUGCCUCGUCGUCAAGCAACGUGGGCCUUCUGCUGCUCCAUGUCCAACAAGUCGCCCACGAGGCGUCAGUGUGGCAUUGCUAGAUCCAGCUUCCCCCUGCAAUCGUCUCUGCCGCCAGCACUUGCACGAAAUCGUGCUGGUUUCUGUAGUUCAAGAUCAAAGGCAAGAAUCAGCCAAAUAUGAUGAUGAGAACAAGGCUAAUGAUGGAGAACUUUCAUCUAUCGAAGCUGAGCAGUCUAUUGGGAUACUAAGUUUCAAUGCGCAUCCUAAGUUUCAGUUACCUGAAAUCAAGGCCAGUUUCAGUCGAUGCCGAAGUAAACUACCACAUGUAAGUUUAGGGACACACAUUAGUUUCCUGCUAGGGAUUUAAUGGUUGCCGAACUUUAUGCACAUAUGGCGUAGUAGAGAUGCAUGCUUCGUUAUCCUGCAGUUAUCUGAAUUUUUUCUGACCUGCACUCUUCUUGCCUUUAGUUCUGUUCUUAACAGAAUUAUUACUUACUGACAGACGAAUACUUGUUUUCCUUCAUCAUCUGCAUUUCAAAUGACUCAUUAUGCAUCAGGCUAGCUAGGCAAUAUGAAAUUUUACUUCUUGGCUAUAGUCACCGAGCACUGCAAUUUGAAAUUACAGCCACGAAUUUUGGAUUAGUCGAAAGGGCAUUCUUAAUCUGAUACAGUCAACCGAGCACUGCAAUUUUCAAAACAAGAAGCGGCUGCUACCAUAUUAUUUAUGUUUACAAUCAACAAACUACAUCCUGACAUUCCUUCUUAUUUUUGUUUGCAUUCAAACGUGAUGAACUUGAGAAAAUCCAUGCACUUCAAUUGGACAGGAGUUUUCUGCCACGUAAUCGAUGAUGCACUUCACAUGACAGAAUUGUUUGUUAAAGGAACUUUUUGGCAAGAAAUACACAACCGUGUCAUUCAGUGUUGGACCUAUGUUAUUGGCAAGAAAUACACUAAUGUGUAGCUCACUGCUGAGGUCAGCAAGAGGGGGUACAUGCACAUCUGACACCUUUUUCUCUUCCGGCGCCUUGCUAUUUGCAUUUCCCAUUCGUACCUAUCAUUUUUCAACAGCAUUAGUAUUGAUGUGGUAUGUAUACUGAACAAUUGGCUUGCCAUGUAUUUUUGGUGUUCCAACUUGGAACAUGGGGAAGAAAUGACUACAUUGUAUACAUCUGAUAAACAUUUAUUGUCUUGGGAUGUAUUUUUGGUGUUCGAACUGGGAACAUGGGGCACAUUUAUUCGUAUGGAUCCAUCUGGUGGCUCCAUCGUAUAUGGCUCUGUUGCAUAUGGCUCCAUCUGGUGACAAUUGUCUUCUGUACCAUCGCGUGAUCUUUAAGAGAGCAUGAGCGUACAUACCUUUAAGAAAGCAAGGUUUAUAACUGAUCAGUGAAGACGCCCUGCACUGCUUGCCGCUGUAGGCGUCGUCGUCGGAGAUUGGCGUGUGGCUGCCCGAGGCGGCGGCGGCGGUGUCUUGCUGAUCCGCGACGAGAUCGUGGUGUGUGGGUACCUGAGGCGCCGGCGGCGGGCUGCUGAUCCGCGGCGGUUUUGUUCGUGAUCCGUCACGGGCGACGUAUGUGAGGCGGCAGCCGCGGCGGCGUUCUCCUGAUCCAGAUCCAGGACGGACGUGGGAAACAAGGAGCGGAUCGGGUCCUCGUUCCGUAUAGGAGCGUCGAUCUAGUUUUUUGUCGAUACGUAGAUUAAAAUCAGUUGUAUGGGGUGGUGGGAGGUGGGAGGAGAUAAAACCGGAGUACCAGGCUACC
RNAcentral lists this ribosomal RNA (2010 nucleotides) under Triticum aestivum (bread wheat). RNAcentral describes it as "partial small subunit ribosomal RNA". Lineage: Eukaryota; Viridiplantae; Streptophyta; Magnoliopsida; Poales; Poaceae. The record is from RNAcentral.